AAUGAACGCUGGCGGCAUGCCUAACACAUGCAAGUCGAACGAAGGCUUCGGCCUUAGUGGCGCACGGGUGCGUAACGCGUGGGAAUCUGCCCUUGGGUUCGGAAUAACAGUUAGAAAUGACUGCUAAUACCGGAUGAUGUCGUAGGACCAAAGAUUUAUCGCCCAAGGAUGAGCCCGCGUAGGAUUAGCUAGUUGGUGGGGUAAAGGCCCACCAAGGCGACGAUCCUUAGCUGGUCUGAGAGGAUGAUCAGCCACACUGGGACUGAGACACGGCCCAGACUCCUACGGGAGGCAGCAGUGGGGAAUAUUGGACAAUGGGCGAAAGCCUGAUCCAGCAAUGCCGCGUGAGUGAUGAAGGCCUUAGGGUUGUAAAGCUCUUUUACCCGGGAUGAUAAUGACAGUACCGGGAGAAUAAGCUCCGGCUAACUUCGUGCCAGCCGCCGCCGUAA
RNAcentral lists this ribosomal RNA (449 nucleotides) under uncultured bacterium. Its description in RNAcentral is "partial 16S ribosomal RNA". It matches the Rfam family "Bacterial small subunit ribosomal RNA", at positions 29 to 523 of the family's 1533-position model. The record is from RNAcentral.